CAGAAAGUAGUUUAAUUGGAAAACGCCAGCUUUGGGAGUUGGUGAUGAAGGUUUAACUCCUUUCUUUCUGA
This 71-nucleotide transfer RNA is filed under the name Oriolus oriolus (Eurasian golden-oriole). It matches the Rfam family "tRNA". From Rfam's summary of the family: Transfer RNA (tRNA) molecules are approximately 80 nucleotides in length. Their secondary structure includes four short double-helical elements and three loops (D, anti-codon, and T loops). The record is from Rfam by way of RNAcentral. Lineage: Eukaryota; Metazoa; Chordata; Aves; Passeriformes; Corvidae.